This 112-nucleotide ribosomal RNA is filed under the name Acanthosepion pharaonis. Lineage: Eukaryota; Metazoa; Mollusca; Cephalopoda; Sepiida; Sepiidae. The record is from RNAcentral.
UAUGGUCACAUCACGUUGAAACACCAAUUCCUGUACAAUCACAGAAGUUAAGCAAUGUCGAGCUUGAUCAGUACCUUAAUGGGUAACUGCUUGGGAAUAUCAGGUGCUGUAA